UGCGGUUUCUAGACACAAUGUAACGGAUACUUUCGAAUGAGAUAAAUGAGAAAUGUUUGGUGCUCAAAUAAGUCUUAGAGAGAGAGCAAAUACUCAUCAAGGC
Myotis davidii is the source of this 103-nucleotide long non-coding RNA. RefSeq lists it as uncharacterized. The record is from RefSeq and is a predicted model, not a curated record. The transcript is spliced from 3 exons. Lineage: Eukaryota; Metazoa; Chordata; Mammalia; Chiroptera; Vespertilionidae.